AUUCCGUAAUCUCGUAUACCCCGU
Molecule: microRNA, 24 nt
Filed under: Ananas comosus (pineapple)
Lineage: Eukaryota; Viridiplantae; Streptophyta; Magnoliopsida; Poales; Bromeliaceae
Description: microRNA s0021_c022
Source: RNAcentral